RNAcentral lists this long non-coding RNA (3128 nucleotides) under Sus scrofa (pig). RNAcentral's name for it is "lncRNA (ENSSSCG00040049897.1)". The record is from RNAcentral. Lineage: Eukaryota; Metazoa; Chordata; Mammalia; Artiodactyla; Suidae.
AAAUGAAUCAUUUUGUACAACAGAAACUAACGCAACAUUGUAAGUCAACUAUACUUCAAUAAAACUUUUAUAAAAUAAUAAAAUAAAAAAGAUACAAGGAUAUAACAUACAGCAAGGGAAUACAAAUACUAUUUUAUAAUAAUUUUAAAUGAAAUAUAAUCUACAAAAAUAUAGAAUCACUAUGUUGUACACCUGAAGCUAAUAUAAUACAGUGAAUCAACUAUAUUUCAAUAAAAAUAACUUUUAUAAUAAAAAAGUAUUUACCAAAAGAAAAUUUGAGAACAAAUUAGAAAUACGUCCAUGAUAACACAGUGGCCCAUAGAUUUGUCAAGUCAUCCAAUUUAGCAGAGAGUUGUUUGAGGAGCCUAGAUAUUGUGUAGAAGAGGGACUUAACAGAGCAGAUCAAGGAACCAGAUCUGGAAAGUCAGUGGAAUGAUUGACAGUGAUGUCAUCAGUGCUGUGAAGUGCAGAUUAGUAUGGAGUUUGGGCAGCCACUUUGGAUGAAGCAAGAAGAAUAGACCCUGCCAACAGUGCAGAAAGGGGACGAGAUGGUGGGGGAAUUCAUUGCCUGUUCAUCUCAAGAUGCCCAUCUUGGCCUCCCCCAAGCUUUGUUUACCAAUACAGUUUGUGUCUAAUUUCAGAAGAGUUCUUAGGAAUGUGAGUUCGGAAUCCACUAAUGUCCUACAUAGAAAUAGAAAGGUGAACUAAUUCCCUAGAUGUCUUCUCUCAAAGACUCUAUCAUCUAGCAAUAGUUUCUGGGCAUGCAUUGUUGAAAAAUGCAGCAUAGUGUCUGUACACAAGCAGUCUACAUACUAGCAGGACUAGAGAGACACAAAUUAAACUCAUUACCGAGACAAGCAUUUACUUACAAUUGUGAUCAAAUGUUAUGAGAGAAGUACGGGCUAUCAGUUAAAGAGUGAUCAACAGCAGAUCUGAAUUUUCUAGGCUAUCUUUAAAAAGUAAUAUAAAUUUUAUAGUAAUAACAAAGCAAUAAAUAUGUGAGAAUUUUUCAAGAAAAUAGAAUUUUGAGGUGAGCUCUUUUUCUGCUUUUUUUGUUGUUUUCUGGGUUUUUUUGUUUUGGGAAGUUAGGUUUUUUUGGUGGGGUGGGCACAACUACAGCAUACAGAAGUUCUCAGGCUAGGGAUCAAACUCAAGCCACGGCAGUAACAAUGCCAGAUCCUUAACCUGCUCAGCUAUGAGGGAACUCCCAGAAGUGCUCUUAUUUAUUUAUUUAUUUGCUUUAUAGGGUUGCAUCCAUUGCAUAUGGAAGAUUCCAAACUAGGGGUCUAAUCAAAGCUAUAGCUGCCAUCCUACACCAGCCAUGGCAACUCAGGAUCCGAGCUGCAUCUGCAACCUACACCACAACUCAUGGCAACACCAGAUUCUUGACACACUGAGCAAGGGCAGGGAUCGAACCCACAUCCUCGUGGAUACUAGUCAGAUUUGUUUCAGCUGCACCACUACAGGAACUCCUAAGACAUGCUCUUUAUUUUUUUUUCUGGGAAAUGUAGUUUUUUUUAUUAUAUUUCCAAAGGAAGGGAAGACUCAUCCCUGAGACUUUUGACACUGAUGAGAAAGUUGACAGCAGGCUAUUGUCUGUUUCGGUGCCCAUCUGCUGAAGGUUAGGGUGUGUUCCUGGCCAUUUCUGUCAAAGGUUUCCUGGAGGAGGUAGUCCCUCUUACACAACAAGACUGAGGAGAUCAAGAAGGCUUGGUGGUCCCUAGGAAGAGGAAAUGCAAGGCAGUUGGGCUGCCUCAACAGUCAUCUUAUGCUAAAUCUAACCCCUGGAAGAAGAGGUGUCCCCAUUCCCACACCCUCCCUCUUACUCAACCACCAGAGAAUGUGGGGAGCAUACACUGUAUCAGCAUGUUUCUUUUCUUUUCUUUUCUUUUCUUUUCUUUUCUUUGCAUUUUGCUUUUUAGGGCUGCCCCCAAGGCACAAGAAGGUUCCUAGGCUAGGGGUCAAAUUGGAGCUGUGGUCACCAGCCUAUGCCAGGGCCACACCAACAGAUCCAAGCUGCAUCUGGGACCUAUACCACAGCUCACAGCAAUGCCACAUCCUUAACCCACUGAGCGAGGAAGAAAAAAAAAGAAUUUUGUUUAUGAAUUGUUUAGACACAUUCUAAGUCAUUCUGAAAAAUGACUGAACUUUUUACUCCAUGGUAUCUGUCAUAUAAACACUGUCUCUAUUAGAUUCUGCUAAAAAUCACAAUGAGAAGUAUUUCCAAAAACUAGUGAUCUGAAGAGACACUGCUUUUUCAUCUCAUUAUGCUAUGCCUGUGAGUAUAUUAAACCACAUAAAAGUGUCUUUAGUACAAAUACAGUGUGUUAUCUCAAACAGGCUAUUUUAGAAUUUUACUACUUUAGGUCAAAAGUAUAAGAGCACAACGAGCUAUGAUUUAACCCAGCUUUUUGACUAUGAAAUUCUACUGUUAUCUUUUUUAGAUAGACAUAUUAUUUCAGUGACUAUCAUAACUAAAAGUCAAAAGAGAUGCUUUCAACUCUUCUCAGCAGGCUAGCUAUUCCCAAAACUAUCUUGAGAUAACACUUCAAUAAGGACUUCGAAGUUUUCAGCUUCGAGUGAUGUCUAGCUGUUCCUCAGAAAACUCGCUGAUUCCAAGUCUUGAGAAGGGAAGGUACAAGGUGGUCCCGGGACAUUUUGUGUCCGAAUCCAGGGAACAUUUAAGAAAAAUAGGAAUAUUUCAAAACAGGAGCCAGGUGGAAGGGAUUCUACCUACCAGCUCUUGGAUAUUGGACUAACAAAAAGAAUAAUGGCUGUAAUCACUUGUAAUACAUUGACUAAGCAAAAAUAUCUGUGAAGACUCUGAAAAACUCAUACCAACACUGAAAACAUAUUAAAAAAUACAUAUGGGAAGAACUAUGAAGAUAAAAUGUGAAAUACAAUUGGUUGAUAACACAAGAUUAUCCAUUUGAGAAGGUAAUCUUCCAGUCAAAGGACAAAAAACUUUACAACGUAAGCCCAAAAUAUAUUAGUUUGAAUGUUUUAAAAUUUCACCAGAAAAAAAUGAUAAUUUAUAUCUAAUUUUAUUAUUUUAAAGUUAAUGUGACCAGGAAAUAAAAUCAAUGGGCCAUGAGUAGAAUAUAACUAUUGUCUUCAUAUUGAUGAGU